Unclassified non-coding RNA from Cyanistes caeruleus (blue tit), 100 nucleotides. The record is from Ensembl. NCBI's taxonomy places the organism in Eukaryota, Metazoa, Chordata, Aves, Passeriformes, Paridae.
CGCGGUGUAGCCCCGUUUCGGACACUCUCUGCAGCCGGCCGCAGCCCCAAAGAGAAGCGGUGGCGCUCGCCAUAUAGAAGGAGAGAUCCACCGUCCGUGC